This is a long non-coding RNA of Macaca fascicularis (crab-eating macaque), 1697 nucleotides long. The record is from Ensembl. Lineage: Eukaryota; Metazoa; Chordata; Mammalia; Primates; Cercopithecidae.
GGACAGAGCCAGAGCAAGCCACCUUGAGGGGGGCUUUCACCUCCAACCCCUCUCAUCCUCUGUCUUCCUGCCUUCUUAAGUAGGGGGUGGGAAGGUAGCAGCGAGGACCCCACGGUGCUGGGGAUGCCCUUUUCCACUGACCCCCUGGAAUCCCACCUGGAACUCAGUGGGAAGCGACUGGCGGAGGAUUCUCUCCCCUCCCCGGAGGAUUAGCAUGGCUGGGAGGCCCCCAGCGGCACAUCCUCCCCUGAGAGAGGGAAACUGUGAGCUCAUCUUUGCCGCCGACGGCGGGCAGAACGGGUGGGGCGAGGGGCUCCACCUGUUCCCGAUAAUCUCUCUAAUCCAGCCCCAUAAUUAUUCUUUAUUAACAGAGGCUGCUGCCUUCGUUACACGCUGAAAAGAGGGCGUCAAGAGUGAAGACACAGGGAUCAGAAACUGGUCACAUUUUCCAAAGGGGUUUAUUUGCCACGACCAAAAUAACCUCCCCAGGAAAAGGCUGAGUUCCUGCCUUGCCCCAUCCUGGUGCCCAGCCUGGGAGGUCCAGGACCCACAUCCCCCAAGCUAGGCCCAGAGGUCCCUGCCAGGCUCCCACGGCCCCCAGUCUUCAUGCAUUCAAACAGUUCCUAAGAGCAAGAGUUUGCACAAGGCCUGGUACGGGGCUUUGCAGACACACAGGUAAAUCACACAUGGCCCUGCCUGCUUGGGGCUCGCUAUCUAAAAGGGAAGGGACGAGUACCCCAAUCACCACAGGGCAAACUGCUAAAUGUGUGCCAUCCUAGGGAGGACUGGGGGCUCCGGGAACAGCAUGGGGGUUGUGGGGAAGCCUUCCUGGAAUAAGGGACAAUAGAAUUCGGCUUUGAAGUAUAGAAGUUCCCCAGUGGACAAGGUAAGGGAAGGACAUUCUGUAGAAGGAACAGCAUGGUAAGACAAAGCUGAACCGUGAUUCCUUGUGACCAGAGCAAAGGUCUGAGAUGGCGAAGGGUGAUACUGGGGUUGGAGGGGUAGACAGGGCCAUGUCACACAAGUACCCAUCCUGUGGGUUCUGGGGAAUCAUAGAAUGUUUUAGGUCAGAUUGUGGUUUAGAAAACCCUUCUGGCGGCCGGGCACGGUGGUUCACGCCUGUAAUCCCAGCACUUUGGGAGGCCAAGGCGGGCAGAUCACGAGGUCAGGAGUUCGGGACCAGCCUGGCCAAAAUGGUGACACCCUGUCUCUACUAAAAAUACAAAAAUUAGCUGGGCAUGGUGGAAUGCGCCUAUAGUCCUAGCUACUCAGGAGGCUGUGGGAGAAGAAUCACUUGAACCUGGGAGGCGGAGGUUGCAGUGAGCCGAGAUUGCACCACUGGAGCAACAGAGCAAGAGUCUGUCUCAAAACAGACAAACAAAAAAGAAAAGAAAACCCUUCUGGCAUCAGGACAGCUGGCUCAUGCCUGUAAUCCCAACACUUUGGAGGCCAAGGCAGGAGGAUAGCUUGAGGCCAGGAGCUCAAGACCUGCCUGGGCAACAUAGCAAGACCCCAUCUCUCAAAAAAAAAAAAAAAAAAGACUUAGCCGGGCAUGGUGACACAUGCCUGUAGUUCUAGCUAGUUGGGAGGCUGAGGCAGGAGGAUUCCUUGAGCCCGGGAGUUCGAGGUUGCAGUAAGCUAGGAUCACAUCACUGCAUUCCAGCCUGGGAGACCUGUCUCAAAAAAAAAAAAAAAAA